GACAUAUGGAGGAUUGACAGACAGUUAACCAAAACGCAGCAGCUAGUUUAACAAAACUAACAGCUCUUUCAAGAUUAUGUGGUAGGUGGUGCAUGGCCGUUCUUAGUUCGUGAAGUGAUUCGUUCGCCCAUCGCAUUUCCAAACAACUAACAACUCAGAAUGCUGGGCAAUAGGACGUUUAAAGUGGCUCCUUACCCUUACAAAGGAAUGGCUGAUGAGAAACACUCGAUCCGCUCAGCGUUCUAUUGGAAUGCAACGGACGUGAUUGCA
RNAcentral lists this ribosomal RNA (270 nucleotides) under Trilobatus sacculifer. RNAcentral describes it as "partial small subunit ribosomal RNA". The record is from RNAcentral. Lineage: Eukaryota; Foraminifera; Rotaliida; Globigerinidae.